RNAcentral lists this ribosomal RNA (345 nucleotides) under Xestospongia sp. CC22. Its description in RNAcentral is "eukaryotic LSU rRNA". It matches the Rfam family "Eukaryotic large subunit ribosomal RNA", at positions 23 to 352 of the family's 3401-position model. Lineage: Eukaryota; Metazoa; Porifera; Demospongiae; Haplosclerida; Petrosiidae. The record is from RNAcentral.
ACCCGCUGAACUUAAGCAUAUCAAUAAGCGGAGGAAGAGAAACCAACCAAGAUUCCCUCAGUAACGGCGAGCGAAGUGGGAAGAGCUCAGGCUGCCAAUCUCCGGCCGAGAGGUCGGCGAAUUGUGGUCUGGAGACGCCAACUGUCCUUGCCUGCUUCCCGGGCCCGAAGUUGACCUGGAACGGCGCGUCAGAGAGGGUGACAGUCCCGUAGGGCCGUCUGUGGGAAGCGGGUGGACGUCAUUUGGCGGUCGGCGAGUCGGGUUGUUUGGGAUUGCAGCCCAAAGUGGGUGGUAAACUCCAUCCAAAGCUAAACAGCGGCACGAGACCGAUAGCGAACAAGUACC